Molecule: unclassified non-coding RNA, 1854 nt
Filed under: uncultured fungus
Lineage: Eukaryota; Fungi
Description: sequence contains 18S rRNA gene, ITS1, 5.8S rRNA gene, ITS2, 28S rRNA gene
Rfam family: Eukaryotic large subunit ribosomal RNA (bases 673-1854)
Source: RNAcentral
GGAAGGAUCAUUAACAGUUCCCAAAAGACCCUCUCACAAUGGAGUGUGUUUUGUUUUCUUUUACCCACAAAUGUUGUCAGUUUGGCCCCUAUAAUUGUUUUUAAUAACAAGGAAAUACAACUUUGAGCAACGGAUAACUAGGUUCUCGUAACGAUGAAGAACGCAGCGAACUGCGAUACGUAAUGCGAAUUGCAGAAUUCAGUGAAUCAUCGAAAUUUCGAACGCACUCUGCGCUCUGGGACUUGCGCCCAGAGCAUGCCUCUUUGAGAAUCGACCCAAACUAAAUCAAGCUCUUGAAGCUUGGAUGUUGAAUGUCAUGAACCAAUUUGGUCUAUGUCAUUUUAAGUGUGUCGCGAGCUCUAUCAGGCUCAUGCUUGACAGUUCCCUUUGCGAAAGCCGAUUGGUGAGGCUUGUUGGCAUUUUUCUUUGCUAUGAGCUUUUGAUUUUUUUGUUUCUAGUUUUUCUUUGAUCUAGUCGCGGGAGGGAUCUAACUCAUCCUUUGUCUGUUGCAGGAUCGGAGAGACUUUUGACGAGAAGAACGAGAGUUUUGUGCGUUGAGAUUUGCUGCUAAAGCAUAUGCUGAUUGGUGUUUGUAGCAUCGGUUUUUGAAUAGUCUUGUCGUGGACUGGUAAUAUAGUUUUGCGAUCCCAACCAAAUCUAAAUCUGUGUUUUAGAUCUCAAAUGAGGUAGGAGGACCCGCUGAAUUGAAGCAUCUCAAUAAGCGGAGGAAAGAAACUAACAAGGAUGCCCUCAGUAACGGCGAGUGAAGCGGGCAGAGCUCAGGAUUAAAAUCUGGCAGGUUCGUCCUGUCCGAAUUGUAGUCUAAGGCGGUCAUGUCAGCAGAGAAUCCUUACCUAAAUCCUUUGGAAUAGGGUGACAUAGAGGGUGAGAUCCCCGUCUAUGGCUUGGAAAUCUCCGCGUACGACAGGCUUGCUAAGAGUCGGGUUGUUUGGGAUUGCAGCCCUAAAUGGGAGGUAAAUUCCUUCUAAAGCUAAAUAUUUACGAGAGACCGAUAGCGAACAAGUACCGCGAGGGAAAGUUGAAAAGAACUUUGAAAAGAGAGUUAAACAGUGCUUGAAAUUGCUCAAAGGUAAGCGAUGGACAUCAGUCGGCGUUUGGUUACGAAGAAGCAUCGAGUGACUGCUCUCUUGAUUUGCGAAGAGCUUUACGGCCUUUUGCGAGUCUUGAUGAUGUAGUUGAUUGGUGUUCCAUUCCGUGGCUGAAUGCGCGUCAGGAUCAGUUGCUGUCUGCAGGAUACAGCUAGAGGAAGGUGACCAGAUGAGGCGUUUCGGCGCUUUGACUGGUGUUAUAGCCUCUGGGUUCUGGGCACUGCGGAUGCGACUGAGGCAAAUCAAUCUGACAACGUGCGUCUACUCUUCGGAGCGGACUAGACCGGCUAACUCUUGUGGUUCUGAUGGUACGUAGAGCAAUGCUGUGCGUAUUUUUGAAAGGGCUAUAAUGAGAUUGUUGGUUCAUAAGUGCGUUCAGUGAUUCUGACGAAAUGGUAUUCAUCGACCCGUCUUGAAACACGGACCAAGGAGUCUAACAUAUGUGCGAGUUUUUGGGUGUCAAACCCGUAAGGCGAAAUGAAAGUGAAGGUACCUCGUGUACUGAGGUGGGAUCCUGUGUCCAUUUCGGUGGAUAUGGGUGCACCAUCGACCGAUCUUUCACUUGUGGAAGAUUUGAGUAAGAGCAUAUCUGUUAGGACCCGAAAGGUGGUGAACUAUGCCUGAACAGGGCGAAGCCAGGGGAAACCCUGGUGGAGGCUCGUAGCGAUACUGACGUGCAAAUCGUUCGUCUGAUUUGGGUAUAGGGGCGAAAGACCAAUCGAACCACCUGGUUGCUGGUUCCCUC